GGUGAGUAACGCGUGGGAAUCUACCCAAUUCUUCGGAACAACUGAGGGAAACUUCAGCUAAUACCGGAUACGCCCUACGGGGGAAAGAUUUAUCGGAAUUGGAUGAGCCCGCGUUGGAUUAGCUAGUUGGUGGGGUAAUGGCCUACCAAGGCGACGAUCCAUAGCUGGUCUGAGAGGAUGAUCAGCCACACUGGGACUGANACACGGCCCAGACUCCUACGGGAGGCAGCAGUGGGGAAUAUUGGACAAUGGGCGAAAGCCUGAUCCAGCCAUGCCGCGUGAGUGAUGAAGGCCUUAGGGUUGUAAAGCUCUUUCAGUAGGGAAGAUAAUGACGGUACCUACAGAAGAAGCCCCGGCUAACUUCGUGCCAGCAGCCGCGGUAAUACGAAGGGGGCUAGCGUUGUUCGGAUUUACUGGGCGUAAAGCGCACGUAGGCGGAUCGUUAAGUUGGGGGUGAAAUCCUGGAGCUCAACUCCAGAACUGCCUUCAAUACUGGCGAUCU
This 502-nucleotide ribosomal RNA is filed under the name uncultured Hyphomicrobiaceae bacterium. Its description in RNAcentral is "bacterial SSU rRNA". It matches the Rfam family "Bacterial small subunit ribosomal RNA", at positions 105 to 642 of the family's 1533-position model. The record is from RNAcentral. Lineage: Bacteria; Pseudomonadati; Pseudomonadota; Alphaproteobacteria; Hyphomicrobiales; Hyphomicrobiaceae.